RNA transcript from Anastrepha ludens (Mexican fruit fly), 1180 nucleotides. RefSeq lists it as uncharacterized. The transcript has 2 exons. The record is from RefSeq and is a predicted model, not a curated record. Lineage: Eukaryota; Metazoa; Arthropoda; Insecta; Diptera; Tephritidae.
UACUUACUAAAUUUCGGUGUGUAAUUUAGUGCAAAAAUAACCAAAGCGUCAAUAUUUCAGCUAAUUUAUUAAAACUUGUCAGUGGGAAUUCAAAGGAAAUGGGUUAAAUCAGGUGUUUGGUUAUGUAUAAAUUUCCAAGAAAUGUUGAAAAUAGUCACUUUUCUAGAGCCAAUUUUUUCAGCCUAUAGACACAGUUUUACUCAACUCAGCAAGUGUUCCUUGGUGCCACGUGUCGUAAGCUCAAAAGAAUUUGCUGUCCGAUAACUCCAAAGGAUACAAUUAAUCAACUAAAUAAAUUAAUGUAUUUGCAGUUCGAUAAUUAUAUUUAAUUACAGGUAUGCCUCAUCGAAUUAAAUUAAGAAAAUAUAGAGGGGACCACAUAAUACAUUUUCUAAGAUAAAAAAUAAAUAUGCGCUAGUUUAAAAUACUUAACGACGCUCACGACAUAGGCGGGGACUUGAUUUGUUGUCAAGUAAACGAGCUAGUAAGAACGAAUCGUUUGCAAUCAAUUAAAUACAUAUCAGCGUUUGUACCAGUGGCAUCUUAACAUAAUCGGAUGCGCGGGCAAAUUUUUUUUUUGGUGCUCUCGAAUUACUUUCUAUAGUACUGGUUAUAAUGGAAACAAAGUUACGGAAAUGCGGCCUAAUGGAACGGAAGAAUUAUGUGCCAUGAAAUUUGCCAUGAUUAUAAAAACUUGUAUUUGGUUAACACUAUAAUUGCGCACAAAACAAUUAUACAAAGUAGUCACAACGGCCUCUGUAAUCAAUUACGCCGCAAUAACUCAUAUAUUUUGAUUUUAUGUCGCUGUUGCAGAGCCAACGCUGGAUCCCAUACCCAAAAUCUCAAAACGCUUUUUCAUGGGUUCGAGCUUAUUUAUGUAUUGGUUGGAAAUAUCUAUGUUUAGCGUCUCAGUACCAGACUGGUUUGGAUCGAACUUCAUUUGAGGUAUUUGAGACGUUAAAAAUGAAUUCGAAUUUUCGUCAUUGUCUACAGAGGAGGAACUAGCGUACAUACAUUAAGCAAAUUCAUAAAACUGUGCCUACAUUCUACGGACAAGCUCUCUUUCGCCAUGCCACACCAAAAAAAUUACAUAGUAAGAGACUUUUGCAUUUUUCUAACGAGUUUGUUUAUUGAAUACAAGUAGUUUUUCAAGGAAUCAUCUCGAAAUUGUGUGCAACAA